UACGUAGGGUCCAAGCGUUAUCCGGAAUCACUGGGCGUAAAGCGUGCGUAGGUGGCGUGUUAAGUGUGAUGUUAAAUCGCGGGGCUCAACCCUGUCGAUGUGUCGCAUACUGGCAUGCUAGAGGGAAGCAGAGGCAAGUGGAAUUUGUAGUGUAGCAGUGAAAUGCGUAGAUAUUACAAGGAACACCAAUGGCGAAGGCAGCUUGCUGGGCUUCUUCUGACACUGAGGUACGAAAGCGUGGGGAGCGAACAGG
This 253-nucleotide ribosomal RNA is filed under the name uncultured bacterium. RNAcentral's name for it is "partial 16S ribosomal RNA". It matches the Rfam family "Bacterial small subunit ribosomal RNA", at positions 524 to 776 of the family's 1533-position model. The record is from RNAcentral.